RNAcentral lists this long non-coding RNA (271 nucleotides) under Daucus carota (carrot). RNAcentral's name for it is "long non-coding RNA (DCAR_LNC006596)". Lineage: Eukaryota; Viridiplantae; Streptophyta; Magnoliopsida; Apiales; Apiaceae. The record is from RNAcentral.
AAAAUUUUCGAAAACAUUUUGAUUACUUCUCGAAGCUUCCUCCCAUAUUUCCUUCCGGAAUUGGCUGAAGUGGUUCCUUCUUAGAACCUUCCCUCGUGAAGUUCAGGUAUGGGGAAGGAAAUGUGUGCGUGCGUUGGUCGUGUUAGUUUUAUAUUCGUUAAUAAAAAUCCCUUUCAUCUCCUAUUCAGGUAUUUUUCCUCCUUACUCUCUCAUGUAAAUUCUCUCUUUUGCAUACAUUGAGGACAAUGCAUGAUUUAGGUAUGGGGAGGGC